Molecule: RNA transcript, 3236 nt
Organism: Zea mays
Lineage: Eukaryota; Viridiplantae; Streptophyta; Magnoliopsida; Poales; Poaceae
Gene name: mannosyl-oligosaccharide 1,2-alpha-mannosidase MNS1
Exons: 13
Source: RefSeq, a predicted model, not a curated record
GCGGCCGAAACAGAAGCACACAAAGACAUUCGACGCGGGGACGACAGAGCGCACGCGCGAACCGCCGCCGGACCACGGCGACGAGCUCGGAUCCCGGCGAUCUAGUCGCCGGAGGUGGUCCCGAUGGCUCGGCGGUCGUCUUCCUCGUCGUCGGGGGCCUGGCGGUACCUGAACCCGGCGUACUACCUCAAGCGGCCCAAGCGCCUCGCGCUCCUCUUCUUCAUCUUCGUCGCGGCCACCUUCGCCUUCUGGGACCGCCAGUCGCUCGUCAGCGAGUACGAGUCUGAGAUUUCUCGAUUAGAAGAUGAUAUAAAUCGGUUGCAUGACCAGCUAAGAAGGGCUGGAGUUCAUCUGGAUGAAAAUCCAGUAAUAAGCAACAAGAAUUCCAGAAAAAAUCCUGUAGAAAUUGAUCAUGUCAAUAAUGAAAGGCGGGAAAAAGUUAAAGAGGCAAUGCUCCAUGCUUGGAAUUCUUAUGUGAAGUACGCCUGGGGAAUGGAUGAGCUUCAGCCACAAUCGAAGGAUGGCAUCAAUAGUUUUGGUGGUCUUGGAGCAACCCUUGUUGACUCACUUGAUACACUGUAUAUAAUGGGCCUGAAAGAUGAAUUUCAGAAAGCUAGAGACUGGGUGGCAGAGUCAUUAGACUUUGACAAGGAUUAUGAUGCGAGUGUUUUUGAAACGACCAUAAGGUUGCAUUAUAAGGGUUGUUGGAGGUUUGCUUAGUGCAUAUGAUCUAUCUGGUGAUAAAGUAUUUCUUGAUAAGGCUAAAGAUAUUACAGAUCGUCUAUUACCUGCUUGGGAUACAACAUCUGGCAUCCCCUAUAAUAGAAUAAACCUAGCUCAUGGACGAGCCCAUAAUCCUGGAUGGACCAACGGUGACAGUAUCCUUGCAGAUUCUGGUACGGAGCAACUUGAAUUCAUAGCUCUGUCACAGAGGACUGGGGAUCCCAAAUACCAGCAGAAGGCAGAGAACGUCAUCACACAGCUUCAGAAGAUAUAUCCCAGUGAUGGUUUGCUUCCUAUUUACAUAAAUCCUCAUUCUGGGACAGCAUCGUACUCCACUAUCACGUUUGGUGCUAUGGGAGAUAGCUUCUAUGAAUAUUUGCUCAAGGUCUGGAUCCAGGGGAAUAAAACUGAGCAUGUAAAACACUACAGACAAAUGUGGGAGACAUCAAUGGAAGGUCUAUUAAGUUUAACAAAGAAAACUACACCAUCUAAUUACUACUACAUUUGUGAAAAGAAUGGUGGCUCAUUGUCUGACAAGAUGGAUGAACUUGCUUGCUUUGCCCCUGGUAUGCUGGCAUUAGGAGCCUCUGGUUAUGGGCCAGAAAAAUCAGAGCAAAUUAUGAAUAUGGCAAAAGAGGUAAAUCCUUGUGGCAAUCCUCCUGUUUAUCGAAGAUUUCAAGUCUUUGCAUGACACACUUGAUGGGCAAGUGGUACCCAAGAAAGACACUUUUCGUUACUUAGGAUCAAUGCUUCAAAAGGAGGGAGACAUCGAUGAGGAUGUCAGUCAUAGAAUUAAAGCCGGAUGGUUGAAGUGGCGACAAGCUGCGGGUGUCUUAUGCGACCACCGGGUGCCACGCAAACUAAAAGGCAAAUUCUACAGGACAGCAAUCCGGCCGGCUAUGUUGUAUGGAGCAGAAUGUUGGCCCACUAAAAGACGACAUGUCCAACAACUAAGUGUGGCAGAGAUGCGUAUGUUGCGCUGGAUAUGUGGCCACACAAGGAGAGAUCGAGUCCGGAAUGAUGAUAUACGAGAGAGAGUAGGAGUGGCGCCAAUUGAGGAGAAGCUUAUGCAACAUCGCUUGAGAUGGUUUGGACAUAUCCAACGAAGACCUGAAGAGGCACCAGUGCAUAUCGGAAUAAUUAGGCGUCCCGAAAAUGUGAAGAGAGGUAGAGGCCGACCAACUUUGACGUGGACAGAGGCUGUGAAGAGAGACCUGAAGGAGUGGAAUAUUGAUAAAGAGCUCGCCGCAGAUAGGAAGGGGUGGAAGUGUGCAAUUCACGUGCCAGAACCCUGAUUGAUAGUUUCGCUUUUCCUCCUUAAUCGUUUGACCUUUUCUUGUGUCCAUUUUAGAUCUUGCUGGUCCUUGUGGGUUUUAUCUCUUUUAUGUGUUUCCCCGUUUCGUUGUUUUCGGUUCUCCUUUGCCUUUGUUUCCCUUUUCUGUUCUUUGGGGGUUGAGCUCUGAGGUUUUCAUACGGGGUUUCAUCUCUAGCCUACCCCAACGUGCUUGGGACAAAAAGGCUUUGUUGUUGUUGUUGUUGUUGUUGUUGCAUGACACACUUGAGAAUGAAUGUGUUUCUUUCUGUUUGCUGGUAUGACUUUUUCCCUUUUCCAUUCAUGUCAUAGCUUGCUAGGACCUGCUAUAAUUUCUACCAAACCACUCCCACGAAGUUGGCUGGCGAAAAUUAUUUUUUCCAUGCUGGACAGGACAUGAGUGUGGGCACAUCGUGGAACAUCUUGAGACCGGAGACUGUUGAAUCACUUAUGUACCUAUGGCGCUUGACGGGGAAUACAACAUACCAAGAUUGGGGGUGGGACAUAUUCCAGGCAUUUGAGAAGAACUCCCGUGUAGAAUCUGGAUAUGUGGGACUGAGAGAUGUGAACACUGGUGAAAAGGAUAACAUGAUGCAGAGCUUCUUCCUGGCAGAGACGCUCAAGUACCUCUACCUACUUUUCUCCCCUCCAUCAGUCAUAUCCUUUGACGAGUGGGUUUUCAAUACUGAAGCUCACCCAUUGAGAAUUGCUCCAGUAAAUUAUAACAAAAGCAUUGGAACACCGGUCCGUCCAUUCGGGAGAAAACAGGGAAAGCCUGAGUAACCUUGGAUAUAGAGCAGUGGAUUUUUUUUUUAAUCCGACGUCUGACUCUGGCCUCCCUGAUGAAGAUGUGUUCUGACACGAGGGAACUUUCUGCCUGAAGCAGCAAGGGUUAGAAAUCACGGCAAUAGAUUGUUUAGAGAGAAAAAUCAUAGGUAGAUCAUGAUGCUAUAUGCGAGGCAGUGACCUCCAUGGGUGGUAUGGUCGGAGCUCAAGAGCCCCCAUAGAAGCUUUUAUCUUUGGACUUGCUUACGCCCCCUGAUGUGCGUUGUUGAUGUGUAGCAUACAUCUAACUCACUGUUCAUAUGUUGUUGCUUUCCUGGGACCUCUGCGGAGCUGUAUUGUCAUUAUUUGGCCCAUAGUUAUUACUUUUUUUCAGAUAUGAUUUAUAUAUAUAUAAGUUGUUUAUGGCUUUCGUUAA